CCUACGGGUGGCAGCAGUAGGGAAUAUUGCUCAAUGGGGGAAACCCUGAAGCAGCAACGCCGCGUGGAGGAUGAAGGUUUUCGGAUUGUAAACUCCUGUUGUUAGAGAAGAUAAUGACGGUAUCUAACGAAUAAGCACCGGCUAACUCCGUGCCAGCAGCCGCGGUAAUACGGAGGGUGCAAGCGUUACUCGGAAUCACUGGGCGUAAAGAGCGCGGAGGCGGGUGAGCAAGUCAGAUGUGAAAUCCUAUGGCUUAACCAUAGAACUGCAUUUGACACUGGUAUUCUAGAGUAUGGGAGAGGUAGGUGGAAUUCUUGGUGUAGGGGUAAAAUGCGUAGAGAUCAAGAGGAAUACUCAUGGCGAAGGCGACCUGCUAGAACAUAACUGACGCUGAUGCGCGAAAGCGUGGGGAGCAAACAGGAUUAGAUACCCCUGUAGUC
This 440-nucleotide ribosomal RNA is filed under the name uncultured bacterium. RNAcentral's name for it is "partial 16S ribosomal RNA". It matches the Rfam family "Bacterial small subunit ribosomal RNA", at positions 338 to 795 of the family's 1533-position model. The record is from RNAcentral.